UUGGAGGGCAAGUCUGGUGCCCGCAUUCGCGGUAAUUCCAGCUCCAAUAGCGUAUAUUAAAGUUGUUGCAGUUAAAAAGCUCGAAGUUGAACUUCAGGCCUGGUUGGGCGGUCCGCUUAACGGCGGGUACUGUCCGACUGGGUCUUACCUCUUGGGGAACCGGCGUGCCCUUUAUUGGGGGCGUCGGGAAACCAGAACUUUUACCUUGAGAAAAUUACAGGGUUCAAAGCAGGCCUAUGCCUGAAUACAUCAGCAUGGAAUAAUAAAAUAGGACGGGCGGUUCUAUUUGGUUGGUUUCUAAAGUCCCCGAAAUGAUUAAUAGGGAUAGUUGGGGGCAUUGGUAUUGAGUCCCUAGAGGUGAAAUUCUUGGAUUGACUCAAGACCGACUAUUGCGAAAGCUUUUGCCAAGGAUGUUUUCAUUAAUCAAAAACAAAAGUUAGGGGAUCGAAGACGAUCAAAUACCGUCUUAGCCUUAACCAUAAACUAUGCCAACAAGGGACCGGACGACGCUCAAUAAAUGACUCGUUCGGGGCCUUCCGGGAAAC
This 545-nucleotide ribosomal RNA is filed under the name uncultured Tricholomataceae. RNAcentral describes it as "bacterial SSU rRNA". It matches the Rfam family "Eukaryotic small subunit ribosomal RNA", at positions 548 to 1098 of the family's 1831-position model. The record is from RNAcentral. Lineage: Eukaryota; Fungi; Basidiomycota; Agaricomycetes; Agaricales; Tricholomataceae.